This is a long non-coding RNA of Dromiciops gliroides (monito del monte), 492 nucleotides long. RefSeq lists it as uncharacterized. The transcript has 4 exons. Lineage: Eukaryota; Metazoa; Chordata; Mammalia; Microbiotheria; Microbiotheriidae. The record is from RefSeq and is a predicted model, not a curated record.
CUAAGACUGGCAUGGGCAGAGUUACACCUUCCAGGUGAACCAUUCUUCUCUGGUCUUUCCAGGUGGUCUGAUCAACCUCAGGAAGGUAAUUUGAUGAGGCAGAAAAUCUGGAGAGUUGCCAGACUUUAGAUGCCACUUUGACCUUUCCUGAUCUUAAUACUCUCUGUCCCACUGAAGGAGGAUGAGGCUAAAUUUAUUGAUCAAGUUACCAUUUUCCUAGGACAUGGCACUGGCUCCCUCUGCUGCCCUUGACUGACUGGUUCAAGCUGACUCUAGAACACCCCUGUAAAGAACAGUAAUCGGGCCUGUUUGUCCACAGUUUAGAAUGCAAAGGGCAUUUGUUCCAGGCACAGAUGGUGCUUAUAAAAAGCCACAUGCUGUCGUGAAUAACUCCAGGUGGGAGGUCCAUGUCUUUUGGACUCACAGUCUUCUUUUCCAGGAGCAAGACUAUUCAACAAGCCUAGAACCCUCUCCUCUUUGACACCUACAGAC